GAAUAGAAUUUAGGUCUAACCUGCCCAUUGAUUAUUUUAACGGCCGCAGUAUUUUGACUGUGCAAAGGUAGCAUAAUCAUUAGUUUUUUAAUUGAAAGCUUGUAUGAAUGGUUGGACGAGAUAUAAUCUGUCUUUAGUUUAUAAAUAGAAUUUAAUUUUUAAGUUAAAAAGCUUAAAUAGUUUUAAAAGACGAGAAGACCCUAUAGAUCUUUAUAAAUAUAAAGAUUUAAUUUUUAAGGAUUAUUAAAUUUUAUAUUUUUUUAUUUAUUUAAUUGGGGUAAUGAAAAGAUUUAAAAAAUUCUUUUUAUAUUAAACAUAGAUAAAUGAUUUAAAUGAUCCAUUAUUAUUGAUUAUAAGAUUAAGUUACCUUAGGGAUAACAGCGUGAUUUUUUUUGAGAGUUCUUAUCGAUAAAAAAGUUUGCGACCUCGAUGUUGGAUUAAAAUUAAUUUUGGGUGUAGGAGUUUGAAGUUUUAGUCUGUUCGACUAUUAAAAUUUUACAUGAUCUGAGUUCAAACCGGUGUAAGCCAGGUUGGUUUCUAUCUUUAAUUAAUUAACAUAUUUUAGUACGAAAGGACCAAGUAUUUAAUAUAUAAUAUUUAAAAAUUUGAAUAGAA
RNAcentral lists this ribosomal RNA (615 nucleotides) under Limbodessus microocula. RNAcentral's name for it is "partial 16S ribosomal RNA". The stretch from base 374 to 532 matches the Rfam family "Bacterial large subunit ribosomal RNA", at positions 2473 to 2632 of the family's 2925-position model. Lineage: Eukaryota; Metazoa; Arthropoda; Insecta; Coleoptera; Dytiscidae. The record is from RNAcentral.